GAUGAAGAACGUAGCGAAAUGCGAUAGGUAAUGUGAAUUGCAGAAUUCAGUGAAUCAUCGAAUCUUUGAACGCACCUUGCGCCCUUUGGCCAUUCCGAAGGGCAUGCCUGUUUGAGUAUCAUGAACACCUCAACUCUUCAUGGUUUUCCAUGAUGAGCUUGGACUUUGGGGGUCUUGCUGGCCUGUGGGUCGGCUCCUCUCAAAUGAAUCAGCUUGCCGGUUUUUGGUGGGCAUCACAGGUGUGAUAACUAUCUACGCUUGUGGUUUUCCACCAGGGUAACCUUCAGCAGUGGAGGUUCACUGGAGCUUACAAAUGUCUCUCCUCUGUGAGGACAGCCCUUUGAAUGUUUGAUCUCAAAUCAGGUAGGACUACCCGCUGAACUUAAGCAUAUCAAUAAGCGGAGGA
Molecule: unclassified non-coding RNA, 406 nt
Filed under: soil metagenome
Description: partial contains 5.8S ribosomal RNA, internal transcribed spacer 2, and large subunit ribosomal RNA
Rfam family: 5.8S ribosomal RNA (bases 1-121)
Source: RNAcentral